RNAcentral lists this ribosomal RNA (429 nucleotides) under Chloroflexota bacterium. RNAcentral's name for it is "Chloroflexi bacterium partial 16S ribosomal RNA". It matches the Rfam family "Bacterial small subunit ribosomal RNA", at positions 355 to 776 of the family's 1533-position model. The record is from RNAcentral. Lineage: Bacteria; Bacillati; Chloroflexota.
UGGGGAAUAUUGCACAAUGGGCGCAAGCCUGAUGCAGCCAUGCCGCGUGUAUGAAGAAGGCCUUCGGGUUGUAAAGUACUUUCAGUCGGGAGGAAGGUGGUAAGGUUAAUAACCUUGUCGAUUGACGUUACCCGCAGAAGAAGCACCGGCUAACUCCGUGCCAGCAGCCGCGGUAAUACGGAGGGUGCAAGCGUUAAUCGGAAUUACUGGGCGUAAAGCGCACGCAGGCGGUCUGUCAAGUCGGAUGUGAAAUCCCCGGGCUUAACCUGGGAACUGCAUUCGAAACUGGCAGGCUAGAGUCUUGUAGAGGGGGGUAGAAUUCCAGGUGUAGCGGUGAAAUGCGUAGAGAUCUGGAGGAAAACCGGUGGCGAAGGCGGCCCCCUGGACAAAGACUGACGCUCAGGUGCGAAAGCGUGGGGAGCAAACAGG